RNAcentral lists this long non-coding RNA (1686 nucleotides) under Sus scrofa (pig). Its description in RNAcentral is "lncRNA (ENSSSCG00005036661.1)". Lineage: Eukaryota; Metazoa; Chordata; Mammalia; Artiodactyla; Suidae. The record is from RNAcentral.
GGCCAGGGAUGGAACCCACAUCCUCUGGAUCCCGGUCGGGUUCAUUACCGCUGGUUUGCUAUGUGUUGGGGUAGAGUUUAUUUUCUUCCAGUCAAGGCUACUGACUGAUUUAUCCUUUCUCUGCCAAUUGGGAAUUCCAUAUCUAUCAUGUGUUAAAUUCUUACAUGGAUAAAAUUCACAAAUUAAUGUUUUAAAUACGUGCACCAAAUUAAUACUGUAGCCACUGGCCUAUACCACACCCAAAGCUGCCUUUUUAUUUUCAGUCUUAGCUACGUAUACAUGGAUUUUAUAUUGUGGUUAUUCCUCUAACAAUUCCUGAUGAGGGCCCAUUUGAUGUGAGGUGCUAUGCUGGGUGUGGGGGACAAAGUUAUGAACAAAACAAACAUAAAUCCCUGCCUUUGUGGAGCAAACAGGCAUGAGAGCAGACAAUGAACAAUCAAUAUGUAAAUGAGUGAUGUGUCAGGUGAAAAGAAACAACAAUAAAAAAUGGGGUAACAGGAUAGAGGGGGGAAGGGCACUAUUUUAUUUUACUUAAUUAAUUAAUUUGUCUUUUGUCUUUUUAGGGGUGCACCCACGGCAUAUGGAGGUUCCCAGGCUAGGGGCCGAAUCGGAACUGCAGCUGCCAGCCUACAUCACAGCCACAGCAACGCCAGAUCCUUUGGCCCACUGAGCGAGGCCAGGCAUCGAACCCAUGUCCUCAUGGAUGCUAGUCAGUUUUGUUACCCGCUGAGCCAUAACAGGAACUCCAGAGCUUCCAUUUCUUAGUCAGGGAAGCUUGUGGCCAUGCUGAGUGGGAGGCGCCCAUGAGAACCCCAUGUGAGGUGCCAAGGGGGCAAAUGUCACAGGGGUGUGCAGCUCAGGGUCAAGACCCUCCCCAGGGACCCUAUUCAGGGUGGAGCUGGUGGUUGAAGGCCCGAGUCUGCAGAAGUGUCCCCAAGGGACCUAAUGUAUCUGGGAAGAGGAGAGGCUGUGGCUGGACACUGCUUGUACAGGGUGGGACCAGCCGGCCUUUGGGCUGGCAGGGAACUCUGGAACUGCAAGGCUAACUUUGGGAGGCCUGGUCAACCAAGGACAUGGCUUGGAGCCUUGGGCCUCGCCUGUUUGCUAAAGCCUGUGGACCAGGGGGCAGAUGGGGCCUCCACAGCUAAAAGCCACUGUGGGGGAGGUGACAUUUCUCUAGGGACAAGCUGAGUGGGUGAACAGAGUCCCAGUCCCAGGGGUGCCUGACGCUGAGGCAGCAGAUGCAACUAUUGAGCACCAACUGUAUACCCCCACACUGGCUCUGUGCUCCACACUGGAUACCUAUUUCUGCCAAAGACACCCCCACACCGAGUGAUAAAUGCCACGUCAACUUUUGCCAGUCAACAAAUGCCAGUACAGUUGAUUGUACUGUAAACUACAACUGGCUCCAAGGGUUUUUGGGAGAUGCAGUUUGAAUUAGCAGGAGUUCCCACUGUGGCUCAGUAGGUUAAGAACCCGACUAGUAUCCAUGAGGGUGCUGGUUUGAUCCCUGGCCUCGUUCAGUGGGUUAAGCAGCUGGCAUUGCCAAAAGCUGCAGUGUAGGUCGCAGAUGUGGCUCAGAUCUGGCAUUGCUGUGGCUGUGGCUAUAGCUCCAAUUCCACCCCUAGCCUGGGAACUUCCAUAUGCCCCAAGUUCAGCCCUAAAAAAAAAAAAAAAAAAGAAAAA